GACAGAUAGGAAGCCCAGCCCUGCUCUGUCCCUGAGGCUCAAACCCACCCUCCACUCCUGUUGCUGGGUCUUUCUUUCUGUUGCAUUUCUGAUUUCUUGUCUCUCAAUCUUUGUCUCAGUUGUUUUCCCUCAUCAAGUAUUUAUCUUCUAAAUCCUUCAGAAUCCACGUGGCUGUUUUCUAAGUCACUCUCAGUACUCGCUAGGUUUAAUUGCUGAAAUAAUUAUGAACUUCCCAAACUGUUCUCACAGAGCGCGGAGGCUGAGUUUUCUCCAGCCUGACUUACCACCUCCUCCUCCAGGUGCAGCCUGACAUCCUGUCCAUGCUUUCUCCAACUGUUCAUCACCAAAGAGCCCUCUUCUUUCCCUCAAACAGAUCAUUUGUACCCCGCUCAGUGGCCUGCCUUUCCCUUAAGGUGUUCUGAAAAACUGAUGACACCUUCAAAUAUUUGUCAAAAGCAUAAACACAGGAGUGGCCCAAACUAUCGGAAAGUAUUCUGCUCCUGAAGAAGCCCGGGAACGUGAGAGCCAGCCAGGAUCUUCCACUCAGCACCCCCUCCCACCUCCCCUUGAAGUGCUUGCCGUGGAGCGCCAUUUUACCAUCAAAUGCUGUGUGUGUAUACAGGGACAAGCUCAUGGUAUCUUAUGGGACAUGUGGCAGUGCAGGAAGAAUCUAGGAGGUGACUAGAGUGGAUCAGAUAGGUCUAGGCUGAGCAGGAAAUGGCUGGUUUGCAGCAGUUCACUUCCUGGCCUCAUGGCCUCCAUCUAUUAAGCUUGGUGACUUGUCAAACUCUGCUUUGGUGUAUGAGACAAUGGAAGUUUCUAGAGCAGAGGCCCUCAACCUUCCUGACACUGCAGCCAUUUAAUACAAUUCCUCAUGGUGUGCUGGCCCCCAACCAUAAAAUUAUUUUCAUUGCUACUUCAUAAUUGUAAUUUUGCUACUGUUAUGAAUCAUCAUGUAAAUGUCUGUGUUUUCUGACAGUCUUGGGUGACCCUGUGUAAGGGUCAUUCCACCCCAAAGGAGUCAUGACCCCACGGGUUGAGAACCACUGCUCUAAAGAAAUGCUGUGUGACUUCAGGGCAACGCCCACUGUUCACUACUGUUUAAGUCUUAAUGGGCCUCCUUCCAAUGUCUCGAGUACUCAAGAGAAAGUAGAAAUUACAGCAAAUACAAACUUGUUUUGAAAAAGAAGACCUUGGUCUGGAGAGAUGGCUCAGUGGGUAAGAGCACCGACUGCUCUUCCUAAAGGUCCUGAGUUCAAUUCCCAGCAACCUCAUGGUGGCUCACAACCAUCUCGUAACGAGAUCUGAUGCCCUCUUCUGGAGUGUCUGAAGACAGCUACAGUGUAUUUAUAUAUAAUAAUAAAUAAAUUUUUUUAAAGAAAGAAAAAGAAGACCUUCUGUUUGAAAGCUAGCAAUUUUGCCAUUUCUGUUGUUUCUAUCAAGACAGGAGG
This is a long non-coding RNA of Apodemus sylvaticus (European woodmouse), 1451 nucleotides long. RefSeq lists it as uncharacterized. NCBI's taxonomy places the organism in Eukaryota, Metazoa, Chordata, Mammalia, Rodentia, Muridae. The transcript has 4 exons. The record is from RefSeq and is a predicted model, not a curated record.